Molecule: ribosomal RNA, 432 nt
Filed under: Triticum aestivum (bread wheat)
Lineage: Eukaryota; Viridiplantae; Streptophyta; Magnoliopsida; Poales; Poaceae
Description: partial small subunit ribosomal RNA
Source: RNAcentral
AUGCACAAGAAUAGAGUGCAACUUUCAGAUAAUUUUCUUCCCUCGGGAUAUUUGAAGAUUGUUUGUUACCCAUCAAGUUCAGGAAAACCAAGGGUAUCAUAUGAAUUGGAUUACGCAAAAGACAAAGAGAUAAAAGGAAGCUACACCGGUUGUUUCUUUGGCAAUUACAAAUCAGCAUCCAUCAUCUACGGACACCAGAGGAAUAUGUUGUUGGAGAAGGUGCAGCAUUGCGGUGAGCAGCAGGUUGUGUCGUCGUGGUGGUCACCCUCAGCUACGAUGGUGUGCAGUCCUUGGCACCGGGAAUCGGCCUGGGAUGUCAUGGAGGGGAGAGGAGGGGGCGUGGCGCUGGCAGCAAGGUGCGAGCUAAAUGAUGUGGCGUCGAGGGGAGACGACAAUGAGAAGCCGUGGUGGGCAGAGCACCCAGGGAAUUGA